AUGAACACCCCAGGUACUGCUGCACGGGGGAGAUGGAUUCCAGCCACAGGUGAUCAUGCUAAAAUCAAUGUUGACGCUGCUGUUUUCCGUGGAGUUGGUGCCGCUGCUGUAGUUUGCAGGACGAACGACGGACAUUACCUGGGGUCCUCGGUGCUUGUGACUAGAGGUCUGGUUGAUCCACCUACUUUGGAAGCUAUGACAUGCAGAGAGGGACUAUCGUUAGCGGAAGAUCUGGGGCUCCAGAAAAUCGUUAUUGCGUCUGACUGUCAAGAGGUGGUGAAACACAUCAACGAGAAGUCAGGUGGGAGUUACGGUGCAGUUGUAAAAGAGAUUAUUUCAUGGCAAUCUUCUUUUAUUUCUUGCUGUUUUAAGUUUGAAUUUAGAGCCUCGAAUUUCGAGCCUCAUAAACUAGCUAGGCAUGCUGUAAAGUUAGAUCAUGGCCGCUACAUUUGGUUGGGGCAAUCACAUGAUACUGCUGUAAUACAGGUAGCAAUACCAAUUUCUGAAUAA
Molecule: ribosomal RNA, 510 nt
Filed under: Triticum aestivum (bread wheat)
Lineage: Eukaryota; Viridiplantae; Streptophyta; Magnoliopsida; Poales; Poaceae
Description: partial small subunit ribosomal RNA
Source: RNAcentral